AUUGAACGCUGGCGGCAUGCCUUACACAUGCAAGUCGAACGGCAGCACGGGUGCUUGCACCUGGUGGCGAGUGGCGAACGGGUGAGUAAUACAUCGGAACGUACCUUAUCGUGGGGGAUAACGCAGCGAAAGCUGUGCUAAUACCGCAUACGCCCUGAGGGGGAAAGCGGGGGAUCGCAAGACCUCGCGCGAUUAGAGCGGCCGAUGCCUGAUUAGCUUGUUGGUGGGGUAAAAGCCCACCAAGGCGACGAUCAGUAGCUGGUCUGAGAGGACGAUCAGCCACACUGGGACUGAGACACGGCCCAGACUCCUACGGGAGGCAGCAGUGGGGAAUUUUGGACAAUGGGGGCAACCCUGAUCCAGCAAUGCCGCGUGAGUGAAGAAGGCCUUCGGGUUGUGAAGCUCUCUUGUCAGGGAAGAAACACCGGCUCUAACACAGUCCGGGAAUGACGGUACCUGAAGAAUAAGCACCGGCUAACUACGUGCCAGCCGCCGCCGUAA
RNAcentral lists this ribosomal RNA (501 nucleotides) under uncultured bacterium. RNAcentral describes it as "partial 16S ribosomal RNA". It matches the Rfam family "Bacterial small subunit ribosomal RNA", at positions 29 to 523 of the family's 1533-position model. The record is from RNAcentral.